AGAAGAACACAAAAGAAUUUGUUGACCCAGUUCGGUCCAAAUUGACCUAGUCUGGGGGAGAGAGCAGCUCUCCGAUCCACUAUAUGAUGAGUAACGUUACAAAGAGAAAUCAAUGGGUUACAAGAAUAAGUCUCCCGCCUAAUUCUACCCAAAGUCCCAACCUCUUCCCGUAACCAAGAGACUCAAUCCUAAUAGUGUUUCCCAAGGUGAAUCAACCCUCAAACCCUAGUGUUUGUUCCAAAGAGACAAACUCUAUACAAACCCUAGUUUUGUUGUUGCCUUUCUAAACCCUUGUUUCAGCCCCCUCUAUCUCUCUCAAAGUUUGCUCUGAUAUAAGGUCUAUAUUUAUUGUAAAAGUAUCGCUUAAAAUUUGGAACAAAUCUGCACCCAAAAUAUGUUUCUGUUUUUCGCUGCCAGCACACCAUCGUGCAACGAUGCGAUCCCAUUGUGCUACGAUUUUUCCAGUGCUUUGCCUCAAACUUGAAACCUCCAAUCGUGCCACGUUGCCUAGCCAUCGUGCCACGAUUCUGCAGAAAUCUGAUUUUAAGUUAACUCUUACAAUUCUCCACUUUGACUUCAAAUCAGUGAUGAUGUCAAUCAUCAACCACCUUGCUGAUCUUUCCCUUGCUUCCCACUACACCAAGUAGCUCCACAAGUUUACACCUCAUAACCCCUUCAGCCCUCGGAAUGUCUUCCGCCUUCUCGAAAGGUCCUUGCAGUCCAACUACACUAGGAAUUUUAGGUAGCUCCACAAGCAUUCACCUUAACCUCUUCAGCCAUCGGAGCGUCUUCCGUCUUCUCGAAGAGUACUUGCAGUCCAACUACGCUAGGAAUUUUAGGUAGUCCCACAAGCAUUCACCAUAACAUCUUCAAUGCAGGACAUCUCCCGCUUCCUUGAAGGUCACCUUGCAUCCAAUCACCCUUGGCCUUCUUUUAGAGUAAUCCCGCAAGUCGUGCUAUACAUUCUUCAACCUCAUGAAGAAAUCCCUUCCUCACCAUAGAGCAUAGCACCCAAGGUCUUCCAUAGUCGUACCAUUACCAGUGUGUUCAACUCCACCUCACGAUGAGCGUACUCUACCUCAACUAGCAAAUGCGUACAUCUCACUAUGUCUUCAACCUUGAAACUCCACCUCAACAGGUAGAUCAUGAGUAUUAUUACCACCGCAACUCCAGGCUGAUGUUGAGUGUUUAACGUCUCUCCAGACGACCACCUGUAACACCCCGUUACCCAAAAUCAAUUUAAUAAAUAAUAAUUCAACAUCAGAUCAGUAAAUCCCAAACGGGCAUGUCACACUACUAAUUCAAAAUUUCUUAAAUAGAAUAUAAAAUCUAUUUAAUAAACAUCCUUCAAAAUUAUUAUUAAAUUUGCAGCGGAAUAUUUUUCAACUUAAAUAAUAACAACAUCCAACAUAAUUAUUCUCCAACAAAUAAUCUUGGCAUAAAAGCCUAACAACAGAAAUUCAUCAACCAUAGGGCUACAUCAGCAAUAUUCAAAAUUGAUACAUAGGAAUAAAGGUAACAUUAAAUCCCAUCCCACGUAUCAGAGCCCUAGAUACUUUGAGCCACCACUUACUACUCAGGAUCACCUGCAAGUUACCCAUAGAAAGGGUAACCUUUUCAAGCAGAAGGGGUGAGAUUCACAAUAAAAUAUAGAUAAAUAAUUCAUCAAUUUGAAUCUAACACCCUAUCAUAAUAAUAAUUCAUCAACAUAUAUAAUAUCAUCAUUAUUAAUAUCAACAACAUUCGGUAAUUUAAGACCAAUAACUGCAACUCAUGCAACACUCGACACCUCCACUAGACUCCUCUACAAUGCAUGUGGUACCAUAAUCAGGGCCGAAGCUCUCCCGCUAAUUGAAUGGUUAAAGCAUUCGCAUUCAUUUUCAGGACAUAAGUCCUCACCGCUAAACACCGCUUUGAACAACUAGUGUUCCACCGCUUUGAACGACAAGGCGUUCCAGAGCCGAAGCUCUCCCGCUUUUAUGCUUAUGCAACUGACACACUUGUGUAUAUCUACAUACAACUCAACCAAUGCAUAUAUAUGUAUAUGACUCACCACUCCAAAAUGCAACAUCAUGUAUAACUUAAUUAAAUGGAAGCAUACAUUCCAGCCAACAACAAAUCAUUAUAACCAAUCCAAACAUCCCAGAAAAAUACACCAUUUAUAAUAGCCAUGCUUAAACAUCAAGAUAAAUAAACAAUCAUCAAAACAGAACCAACAACUCAAAGUUUGGGCAACUCGCCUCGCGAGUACUUCUACUCGAUGUGGCGAACUCACGACAAAGGGUCACUCGCUAUGGCGAGUUCAAGGCGAACAGAAAAAGGCUGCUCUCGGGAGUUUUGACAUUUUUCUCACUAAAUCUUCAAUUCUAAGCUCCCUAUUCAACUUUUUAAUCUAAAACUUGCUCCAGUCCUCUCUAAAAUCAUCUAGGUACACAAAACUAACCAAAUUACGGCUUAUAACAACAAUUGAAAAACCUAGAAUUUCUCACGGGCACUCGCCACGGCGAGUUGUCUCACUCGCGAGGCGAGCUAUGAAGUUGCUCACUCGCCUUGGCGAACAAGGUUACUCGCGACGCGAGCGAUGAACUUCUGUACGGGCAGAAUGCAGGUUUUUCCCAAAAAUCCCAUUUUUCCUCAAAUCACUCCCCAAAUUAGUUUACAGAUAUGAAAUGAAAUGUUGUAUGCACUCAGAACCCAUUUCUAACAUCAAUACAACCGUUCCUACUCUCAAAACCCAUUAAUUCAUCAAAAACCCAAUUUUCCCAAUUCUAUCAUAAACCGGUUAAAAUCAAAAUCAGAAUUCAAUAUCUAUACUAAUGAAGCAAACCUCACCCUUACCUUAGAAUUGCAGAAAGAAAUGCACAUAAAUUGAUGAACUUGGCUCUACUUGCUCUUCUCUCCCUUUUCUCCCAAAACUGACAGUUUUUCACGUAAAACGUUUCUGACUCUUUCUUUUCUUAACUCACCAAAAAGUAACUUCCCUUCCUUUUCAUUAAACUCCCUUAAUUCUAUUAAAUAUUAAUUAACUCCCUACACUCCAAAAUAAUACUAAUUUCUCACUUAAUCUAAUUAUUAUUAAAAUAAACCUUAUAAUAAAAUAUAACACACCACAUAAAUCACCAAUAUUAUUUAAAAUCACAUAAAAGACUCUAAAUAAAUCCAAAAUAAAUAAAUUAACGACUAGGGCGUUACACCACCGCUCCACUAGGCAUCCAUCCCAAGGUGAGACACAUCACCUUCUUCAUCCUCCAAACAACACCACACCAUCAAAGCACAAGAAUCCUCAUAACCCUCAGAGACAAUUUGUGCGGAGUUACCAAUAAUAUCCAGACAAUCCUUCUUGAAGUGACCCAUCUUGUGACAGUUAAAGCAUUCAGACUUUGACUUGUUACCACUCUUUCUCCGGUUACCUCUACCUCCACCAUUCCCUCUUGAGACACUUAGGCCUUCACCGUGUUCAUGAACUCUCAAGUCCUUGGACUUGGUCAACUCCUUGGUUCUCAAAGCCGCUUGAACUUCUUCCAAGGUAACAGUGCCUUCUUUGCCAUAGAGCAUGGUAUCUUUGAACGAUUCAAAAGAUUUCGAUAGAGCACAUAACAAGAGUAUAGUUUUAUCCUCAUCCUCAAGUUGCACCUCAAUAUUCUCCAAGUCAUCAAGGAUUUUGUUGAACUCUGUAAGUUGCUCCAUGAUGGUCUUUGACUCCACCAUCCUGAAUGAGUAGAGUUGUUGCUUUAGGAAUUGCCGAUGAGUCAAAGAUUUUGUCAUAUACAAAGAUUCCAACUUUGCCCACAUAGAUGCCGCAGUUCGUUCCUUUGCUACUUCUCUCAAAACUUUAUCUCCGAGGCACAAGACAAUGGCACUCCUGGCCUUGUCCACCAUAUUUCCCAAUAGUGUUUCCCAAGGUGAAUCAACCCUCAAACCCUAGUGUU
Molecule: long non-coding RNA, 3929 nt
Filed under: Medicago truncatula (barrel medic)
Lineage: Eukaryota; Viridiplantae; Streptophyta; Magnoliopsida; Fabales; Fabaceae
Description: long non-coding RNA (MTRU_LNC007528)
Source: RNAcentral